GAUGAACGCUGGCGGCGUGCCUAAUACAUGCAAGUCGAACGCUGAAGGAGGAGCUUGCUCUUCUGGAUGAGUUGCGAACGGGUGAGUAACGCGUAGGUAACCUGCCUGGUAGCGGGGGAUAACUAUUGGAAACGAUAGCUAAUACCGCAUGACAACAGUUAUUGCAUGAUAACUGUUUAAAAGGGGCAACUGCUCCACUACCAGAUGGACCUGCGUUGUAUUAGCUAGUUGGUGAGGUAACGGCUCACCAAGGCGACGAUACAUAGCCGACCUGAGAGGGGGAGCGGCCACACUGGGACUGAGACACGGCCCAGACUCCUACGGGAGGCAGCAGUAGGGAAUCUUCGGCAAUGGACGGAAGUCUGACCGAGAAACGCCGCGUGAGUGAAGAAGGUUGUCGGAUCGUAAAGCUCUGUUGUAAGAGAAGAACGAGUGUGAGAGUGGAAAGUUCACACUGUGACGGUAUCUUACCAGAAAGGGACGGCUAACUACGUG
Molecule: ribosomal RNA, 495 nt
Filed under: uncultured bacterium
Lineage: Bacteria
Description: partial 16S ribosomal RNA
Rfam family: Bacterial small subunit ribosomal RNA
Source: RNAcentral